CCUACGGGUGGCAGCAGUGAGGAAUAUUGGUCAAUGGGCGAGAGCCUGAACCAGCCAAGUCGCGUGAGGGAAGACGGUCCUAUGGAUUGUAAACCUCUUUUGCCGGGGAGCAAAAAGCGGUACGUGUACCGCAUCGAGAGUACCCGGAGAAAAAGCAUCGGCUAACUCCGUGCCAGCAGCCGCGGUAAUACGGAGGAUGCGAGCGUUAUCCGGAUUUAUUGGGUUUAAAGGGAGCGUAGGCCGCAUGUCAAGCGUGCUGUGAAAUGUCCGGGCUCAACCCGGGCCUUGCAGCGCGAACUGGCGUGCUUGAGUCCGCGGAAAGCAGGCGGAAUUCGUCGUGUAGCGGUGAAAUGCUUAGAUAUGACGAAGAACCCCGAUUGCGAAGGCAGCUUGCUGCAGCGGAACUGACGCUGAUGCUCGAAAGCGCGGGUAUCGAACAGGAUUAGAUACCCGAGUAGUC
Molecule: ribosomal RNA, 460 nt
Filed under: uncultured bacterium
Lineage: Bacteria
Description: partial 16S ribosomal RNA
Rfam family: Bacterial small subunit ribosomal RNA
Source: RNAcentral